UGGGGAAUAUUGCACAAUGGGCGCAAGCCUGAUGCAACAACGCCGCGUGAGGGAUGACGGCCUUCGGGUUGUAAACCUCUUUUAGCAGGGAAGAAGCGAAAGUGACGGUACCUGCAGAAAAAGCACCGGCUAACUACGUGCCAGCAGCCGCGGUAAUACGUAGGGUGCAAGCGUUGUCCGGAAUUAUUGGGCGUAAAGAGCUCGUAGGCGGUCUGUCGCGUCUGCUGUGAAAUCCCGAGGCUCAACCUCGGGCCUGCAGUGGGUACGGGCAGACUAGAGUGCGGUAGGGGAGAAUGGAACUCCUGGUGUAGCGGUGGAAUGCGCAGAUAUCAGGAAGAACACCGAUGGCGAAGGCAGUUCUCUGGGCCGUAACUGACGCUGAGGAGCGAAAGCGUGGGGAGCGAACAGGAUUAGAUACCCUGGUAGUCCACGCCGUAAACGUUGGGCGCUAGAUGUGGGGACCAUUCCACGGUUUCCGUGUCGCAGCUAACGCAUUAAGCGCCCCGCCUGGGGAGUACGGCCGCAAGGCUAAAACU
Molecule: ribosomal RNA, 536 nt
Filed under: uncultured bacterium
Lineage: Bacteria
Description: partial 16S ribosomal RNA
Rfam family: Bacterial small subunit ribosomal RNA
Source: RNAcentral